This 1781-nucleotide long non-coding RNA is filed under the name Brassica napus (rape). Its description in RNAcentral is "long non-coding RNA (BNAP_LNC002884)". Lineage: Eukaryota; Viridiplantae; Streptophyta; Magnoliopsida; Brassicales; Brassicaceae. The record is from RNAcentral.
GUUUUCAACUUUUCAUUUGUACUAAAGUCAAAAGGAAGAAACUUUGGUAUUGGGUCUAUGCUUGUUUUCCCUCUUCACACGUUUCAAAACAGAAGAUCAACGAGUAACAUCCUCGCAUUUAAAUGGAUUUCUUACAGUUUCACGUCUUUCACCUAACAUUUUUGGGUAAAUUCAACCCCCUUUUAACCGCCGAAGGAAAAAAAAAAUGAAAACUUUGUGAAAUGGGUCAUCUUCAAAUUUUGAUUUUUUGUUUACAGUUUCACCUAACUUUCCCAAGCAUGUCCUUUAGUCUUGUCGAGGAAAAGAUCAAAACUUUUGAUAAGGGUCGUCUUUUUCUUGAGCAUUCUAGGUCUUUCUCAAUAAUCAUUCUCUGAUAAACUCUAAUUUUCUAUGUUUUUGAACUGAAGAUUGCUGGAUCAUCUAGAGGCUUUGAAAAGGGAAGGAAGAACCUUUUGAUGGAGACAGAGGAUUCAGGUUGUUUCAGCCCAUCAACACCUCCACUUACUGCAUCUAGUAGUUGCAGAAUCGCCAAGCGAAGAAAGGGCAUCCCUCACCGAUCUCCAAUGGGAUAAAAAAAGAAGAAGCAAAAGAGUUUGAGACAAAGAUUACUACACAGAAAUGUAUAGCUAAUACAUAAGCUUUGGUCUCUUAUUUGCUUGGGCUAGCAAAAAAACAAAGGCCUUAAAGAUAGGUUUUGUUCUACUAAUGGUAAGUCUGUGAAUAUGUAAUGUGCUUUGUAUAUCAUAAGAGUGAAUGCAAUAUGUAUUGCUUAGACUGCACCAACGGCCCGCUUUGCUCUCUUUGUCUUGCCCAUCACAAGGAUCAUCGCACCAUUCAGGUAAGUUCUUGCCAUAACUCAAAGUAGAUUCAUCUAAAGAUUUCAAUAUGUUUUGGGUUUUGAACCUGUCUUUGAUUGGUUUUUGGCAGAUAAGGAGAUCAUCUUAUCAUGAUGUUAUAAGGGUGAAUGAGAUACAGAAACAUCUUGAUAUAUCAGGGAUCCAAACAUAUGUGAUCAAUAGUGCUAAAGUCGUCUUCUUGAACGAGAGGCCUCAGCCUAGGCCAGGGAAAGGGGUAACCAAUACCUGCAAGGUUUGCUAUCGUAGCCUCGUUGAUGAUAGUUUCAGCUUCUGCUCUCUUGGCUGCAAGGUACUAAUUUUCAACGUUUUCAACUUUUCAUUUGUACUAAAGUCAAAAGGAAGAAACUUUGGUAUUGGGUCUAUGCUUGUUUUCCCUCUUCACACGUUUCAAAACAGAAGAUCAACGAGUAACAUCCUCGCAUUUAAAUGGAUUUCUUACAGUUUCACGUCUUUCACCUAACAUUUUUGGGUAAAUUCAACCCCCUUUUAACCGCCGAAGGAAAAAAAAAAUGAAAACUUUGUGAAAUGGGUCAUCUUCAAAUUUUGAUUUUUUGUUUACAGUUUCACCUAACUUUCCCAAGCAUGUCCUUUAGUCUUGUCGAGGAAAAGAUCAAAACUUUUGAUAAGGGUCGUCUUUUUCUUGAGCAUUCUAGGUCUUUCUCAAUAAUCAUUCUCUGAUAAACUCUAAUUUUCUAUGUUUUUGAACUGAAGAUUGCUGGAUCAUCUAGAGGCUUUGAAAAGGGAAGGAAGAACCUUUUGAUGGAGACAGAGGAUUCAGGUUGUUUCAGCCCAUCAACACCUCCACUUACUGCAUCUAGUAGUUGCAGAAUCGCCAAGCGAAGAAAGGGCAUCCCUCACCGAUCUCCAAUGGGAUAAAAAAAGAAGAAGCAAAAGAGUUUGAGACAAAGAUUACUACACAGAAAU